This 378-nucleotide unclassified non-coding RNA is filed under the name uncultured bacterium. Its description in RNAcentral is "contains 16S-23S intergenic spacer region". The record is from RNAcentral.
UCCGGCUUAUCACCGGCGGUUUCCUUAGAGUGCCCAACUAAAUGGUAGCAACUAAGGACGGGGGUUGCGCUCGUUGCGGGACUUAACCCAACAUCUCACGACACGAGCUGACGACAGCCGUGCAGCAUCUGUGCACGCUCCCUUGCGGGUCGUCCCCGUCUCCGGGUUCUACCACGUGCAUGUCAAGCCCAGGUAAGGUUCUUCGCGUUGCGUCGAAUUAAACCACACGCUCCGCUGCUUGUGCGGGCCCCCGUCAAUUCCUUUGAGUUUUAGCCUUGCGGCCGUAGUCCCCAGGCGGCGGACUUAUCGCGUUAGCUGCGGCACCGGGGGGGUCGAUACCCCCGACACCUAGUCCGCAUCGUUUACGGCGUGGACUAC